RNAcentral lists this ribosomal RNA (463 nucleotides) under uncultured bacterium. RNAcentral describes it as "bacterial SSU rRNA". It matches the Rfam family "Bacterial small subunit ribosomal RNA", at positions 29 to 535 of the family's 1533-position model. The record is from RNAcentral.
AAUGAACGCUGGCGGCAGGCCUAACACAUGCAAGUCGAACGGAUCCUUCGGGAUUAGUGGCGGACGGGUGAGUAACGCGUGGGAACAUACCCUUUGGUACGGAAUAGCCUCGGGAAACUGGGAGUAAUACCGUAUGUGCUCUUCGGAGGAAAGAUUUAUCGCCAAAGGAUUGGCCCGCGUUGGAUUAGGUAGUUGGUGGGGUAAUGGCCUACCAAGCCGACGAUCCAUAGCUGGUUUGAGAGGAUGAUCAGCCACACUGGGACUGAGACACGGCCCAGACUCCUACGGGAGGCAGCAGUGGGGAAUCUUGGACAAUGGGCGAAAGCCUGAUCCAGCAAUGCCGCGUGAGUGAUGAAGGCCUUAGGGUUGUAAAGCUCUUUUACCCGGGAUGAUAAUGACAGUACCGGGAGAAUAAGCCCCGGCUAACUCCGUGCCAGCAGCCGCGGUAAUCUGAGUCGGAGAC